AUGCGGCGGAGUUGGAGCACUCGCUGGGUCCUACGGUCGCGGGGGGCCCCAGCUGCGGGCCAUGUGGGAACCUCCCGGAGCUGAAGUGUUCCCGGCGGCCCUUGGCGGCGUUCUCUCCUUGCUGCUCUUCGCCCUCGGGGUCCGCCAGCUGCUGAAGCAGAGACGGCCGUCGGGCUUCCCCCCGGGACCGUCGGGGCUGCCAUUUAUCGGCAACAUCUACUCGCUAGCCGCCUCGGCCGAGCUCCCUCAUAUCUACAUGAAAAAGCAGAGCCAGGUGUACGGCGAGAUCUUCAGCUUAGAUCUUGGAGGUAUAUCGACUGUGGUUCUAAAUGGCUAUGAUGUAGUAAAGGAAUGCCUUGUUCAUCAAAGUGAAAUUUUUGCAGACAGACCAUGCCUGCCUUUAUUCAUGAAGAUGACAAAAAUGGGAGGGUUACUCAAUUCCAGAUAUGGCCGAGGAUGGGUUGAUCACAGAAGAUUAGCUGUAAACAGCUUUCGCUCUUUUGGAUAUGGCCAAAAGUCUUUUGAAUCUAAAAUCUUAGAAGAAACCAAAUUUUUCAUGGAUGCUAUUGAAACAUACAGUAGUAGACCUUUUGACUUUAAACAAUUAAUAACAAAUGCUGUUUCAAACAUAACCAAUCUGAUCAUUUUUGGAGAACGAUUCACUUAUGAAGACACUGAUUUUCAGCACAUGAUUGAGUUAUUUAGUGAAAAUGUGGAACUAGCCGCCAGUGCCUCAGUCUUCCUCUAUAAUGCCUUUCCAUGGAUUGGCAUCUUACCUUUUGGAAAACAUCAGCAGCUGUUUAGAAAUGCAGCUGUGGUCUACGAUUUUCUCUCCAGGCUUAUCGAAAAAGCUGCCAUCAACAGAAAGCCUCAGUCACCUCAGCAUUUUGUUGAUGCUUAUUUAGAUGAGAUGGAUCAAGGUGAAAAGGACCCAUCAUCUACUUUCUCCAAAGAAAACCUGAUUUUCUCUGUAGGUGAACUCAUCAUUGCUGGAACUGAAACUACAACCAAUGUGUUACGAUGGGCAAUUCUUUUCAUGGCCCUUUACCCAAACAUUCAAGGACAAGUUCAUAAAGAGAUUGAUUUAAUUAUAGGACCAAACAGGAAGCCUUCUUGGGAUGACAAAUGCAAAAUGCCUUAUACGGAGGCAGUUUUGCAUGAAGUUUUAAGAUUCUGUAAUAUAGUGCCAUUAGGGAUUUUCCAUGCAUCUUCUGAAGAUGCCAUUGUACGUGGUUAUUCCAUUCCUAAAGGCACAACAGUAAUUACAAAUCUCUAUUCUGUACACUUUGAUGAAAAGUACUGGAGAGACCCAGAAAUAUUCUAUCCAGAGCGAUUUCUGGACAGCAGUGGAUGUUUUUCCAAGAAGGAAGCUUUGGUUCCUUUUUCCCUAGGGAGAAGACACUGUCUUGGAGAACAGCUGGCUCGGAUGGAAAUGUUCCUGUUUUUUACAGCCUUGCUUCAGCGAUUUCACUUGCAUUUUCCCCAUGGACUGGUUCCAAAUCUGAAGCCCAAGUUGGGCAUGACGUUGCAGCCCCAGCCCUACCUCAUCUGCGCAGAAAGACGCUGAAAAUGCACAGAUGUUUUUUUUUGGAACAAGGCUAUAUGUUUGCCUCAGAAUAAGUAUUAGCUGUUAUUUUUUUCCUAACCUUUAUGACUUACAAAGUAGAAUCAUCUGAUGAAAACAGAGGUCAAAUAACAGUUGUUGCUGAAGAUACUAAGAAGGGCCAUUGAUGCCCUGACUUUGCAGCCUCUUGUUGAACACCAGAUUGGGAGUCGCCAUUCCUCUCCUGAGGACACUGAAGCAGUCCUACAAGGAGAGAAACUGAAGCCUCCCGCCAAUUGCCCGGAUCAUCAUGCCAACCAUGUGAAUGAGCCACUGUGGGAGUAGCUUCUCCCCAAACCUCAAGUUGACUGCAGACCCAGCUCGCAUCUGAUUGUGAUCUCAUGAGAGAUCCUGAGCCCUUUCUAAAUCCCCGACUGCCUCACAAAACCUCACAGUAAAUACCUUGGGUCUCUCUGUCCACAGUUUCUGGCUCACAGUUCCCAAACCCUUGGGAAUUUCCUCAACAGUAAGACCCAGGGGAGCAUCCUUUGUUAUGAUAUUUGGUUUCUUGUCCUCAGUUUCAGAAAAAAUGCUGCAGACCCCUGCAGGUGAAAAGGGAGUCUGGUUAUUCACAAUAAGCCUCUUUCCACCACAAUUGGGUUUAUGUUAAUCAGGUGAUUUUAGAAAGCACUUAAGGACGGGCUGGUUAUCAGGGGAACAAAUUUGCUUAGAGGGUGGGAACUCUCAGUCCCACCCCCUGAUUGCAGAGGAGGAGAAAAUGUCUGGACGUUGAAUUAAUUGCCAACGCCAGUGGAUUUAAUCAACUCUUCCUGGGUCCUGAAGCCUCCGCAAAAUUCCAAAGGAAAGGGUUUUGGAGAGCUUCCAGGUGGGUGAAGCAGAUCGCCUCCACAUGCCACUGUGGUUCCAAACUCCAAAAGGACAGAAGUUCCUUUGUCCAGGACCUCGCCUUGCAUAUCUUUUCAUCUGGCUGUUGGUUCGAAUCCUUUUAACAUCGUCCUGUAAUAAACCAGUCAUCUGGUGAGUAAAUUGGUUUUCUGAAUUCUGAGAGCUGGUCUUGCAAGUUAAUUGAACCCAAGGAGGGGGUUGCGGAAGCUUCUGUUUUAUAGCCAGUUGGUUAGAAGUACAGGUAAUGAGCUGGAUGUGAGACUGAGCCCUUAACUUGUGGUGUUUGAUGCCGUCUCGGGGUAAAUGGUGUCGGAAUAGAGUUGAA
RNA transcript from Phacochoerus africanus (Common warthog), 2774 nucleotides. It is a transcript of the gene named vitamin D 25-hydroxylase, with no coding region annotated. The transcript has 6 exons. The record is from RefSeq and is a predicted model, not a curated record. NCBI's taxonomy places the organism in Eukaryota, Metazoa, Chordata, Mammalia, Artiodactyla, Suidae.